This 159-nucleotide ribosomal RNA is filed under the name uncultured Hygrocybe. RNAcentral describes it as "5.8S ribosomal RNA". It matches the Rfam family "5.8S ribosomal RNA". Rfam says of the family: 5.8S ribosomal RNA (5.8S rRNA) is a component of the large subunit of the eukaryotic ribosome. It is transcribed by RNA polymerase I as part of the 45S precursor that also contains 18S and 28S rRNA. Lineage: Eukaryota; Fungi; Basidiomycota; Agaricomycetes; Agaricales; Hygrophoraceae. The record is from RNAcentral.
AACAACUUUCAACAAUGGAUCUCUUGGCUCUCGCAUCGAUGAAGAACGCAGCGAAAUACGAUACGUAAUGUGAAUUGCAGAAUUCCGUGAAUCAUCGAAUCUUUGAACGCACCUUGCGCCUCUUGGUAUUCCGAGGGGCAUGCCUGUUUGAGUGUCAUU